RNAcentral lists this ribosomal RNA (301 nucleotides) under uncultured bacterium. RNAcentral describes it as "partial 16S ribosomal RNA". It matches the Rfam family "Bacterial small subunit ribosomal RNA", at positions 509 to 807 of the family's 1533-position model. The record is from RNAcentral.
CAGCCGCCGCGGUAAUACAGAGGGUGCGAGCGUUAAUCGGAUUUACUGGGCGUAAAGCGCGCGUAGGCGGCUUUUUAAGUCGGAUGUGAAAUCCCUGAGCUUAACUUAGGAAUUGCAUUCGAUACUGGGAAGCUAGAGUAUGGGAGAGGAUGGUAGAAUUCCAGGUGUAGCGGUGAAAUGCGUAGAGAUCUGGAGGAAUACCGAUGGCGAAGGCAGCCAUCUGGCCUAAUACUGACGCUGAGGUACGAAAGCAUGGGGAGCAAACAGGAUUAGAUACCCCCGUAGUCCCUGUCUCUUAUAC